UACGGGGGGGGCAAGCGUUGUUCGGAAUUACUGGGCGUAAAGGGCUCGUAGGCGGCCAACUAAGUCGGACGUGAAAUCCCUCGGCUUAACCGGGGAACUGCGUCUGAUACUGGAUGGCUUGAAUCCGGGAGAGGGAUGCGGAAUUCCAGGUGUAGCGGUGAAAUGCGCAGAUAUCAGGAGGAACACCGGUGGCGAAGGCGGUUCUCUGGGAAUAUCCUGACGCUGAGGAGCGAAAGUGUGGGGAGCGAACAGG
RNAcentral lists this ribosomal RNA (253 nucleotides) under uncultured bacterium. RNAcentral's name for it is "partial 16S ribosomal RNA". It matches the Rfam family "Bacterial small subunit ribosomal RNA", at positions 524 to 776 of the family's 1533-position model. The record is from RNAcentral.